UACGAAGGGGGCUAGCGUUGCUCGGAAUUACUGGGCGUAAAGCGUGCGUAGUCGGCUUUUUAAGUCGGGUGUGAAAUCCCCGGGCUCAACCUGGGAAUUGCAUUCGAUACUGGAUAGCUAGAGUUCGGCAGAGGGAAGUGGAAUUUCUGGUGUAGCGGUGAAAUGCGUAGAUAUCAGAAGGAACAUCAGUGGCGAAAGCGACUUCCUGGACCAGAACUGACGAUCAGGCACGAAAGCGUGGGGAGCAAACAGG
RNAcentral lists this ribosomal RNA (253 nucleotides) under uncultured bacterium. RNAcentral describes it as "partial 16S ribosomal RNA". It matches the Rfam family "Bacterial small subunit ribosomal RNA", at positions 524 to 776 of the family's 1533-position model. The record is from RNAcentral.